CUCUCUCUAGGAUACAGGUCUGUGUCUGUAUAAUAUCCUGGGACAGUCAGGGCUCCCUGUAUUGUGCUGCUCUCUGUAAAUACAGGUCUGUGUGUAUAAUAUCCUGGGAAAGUCAGUGCUCCGUUUAUAGUGCUGCUCUCUGUAUAAUACAGGUUUGUGUCUGUAUAAUAUCCUGGGACAGUCAAUGCUCCCUGUAUAGGGCUGCUCUCUGUAUAAUACAGGUCUGUGUAUAAUAUCCCGGGACAGUCAUUGCUCCUUAUAUAGUGCUGCUCUCUGUAUAAUACAUGUGUAAUACCCACAGAUUCCAGGAACUAGAGGAGUCAGAAGCAGUGGAGUGGUGACUGAAGUCUCAAUCGGAGACAUUUAACAUGUUGAAUUGCUGGCAAGAAAAGGGGCUAAUUGAAUAUGUGCAUAUUUUAUCCUUUUGCUCCAAAUUCUCUCUUUAAUUCCAUUCUGUAAAUUAUCCUCUAAUAUCUUAGAGGAUAGACACAACUCUGACUGAAGCACAUCUACACAAGGUCUUUUUUUUAUAUUUGUAC
Non-coding RNA from Pelobates cultripes (western spadefoot toad), 539 nucleotides. Lineage: Eukaryota; Metazoa; Chordata; Amphibia; Anura; Pelobatidae. The record is from the annotation of a GenBank genome assembly.